GAUGUGGAAACGCCUAGUCCUGUCACCACGCCCGAGUCCUUCAGUACAAACCGCUUGGCAGGAGCGGGGGACCCAACUUUGGGCCUUCUCUUCACGAAAAGGUCCUUGGGGUUAAGUCUCCACGCACGCGCCCGCAAGGUCGGGUGACAACCGUGGAGGCCGGGUGAUCUACCUCCACCCGAACCCGACAGCUCACCUCGUAGGCGCUGGAGGUUCA
RNAcentral lists this small RNA (217 nucleotides) under Phycicoccus sp. Its description in RNAcentral is "c-di-AMP sequence". It matches the Rfam family "c-di-AMP riboswitch aptamer (ydaO/yuaA leader)". From Rfam's summary of the family: This family represents a conserved RNA structure found upstream of the ydaO and yuaA genes in Bacillus subtilis and related genes in other bacteria. Lineage: Bacteria; Bacillati; Actinomycetota; Actinomycetes; Micrococcales; Intrasporangiaceae. The record is from RNAcentral.